This 497-nucleotide ribosomal RNA is filed under the name uncultured bacterium. RNAcentral describes it as "partial 16S ribosomal RNA". It matches the Rfam family "Bacterial small subunit ribosomal RNA", at positions 28 to 507 of the family's 1533-position model. The record is from RNAcentral.
GAUGAACGCUGGCGGCGGGCCUAAUACAUGCAAGUCGAGCGGAAGGACGAUAAGCGCGUGUCCCUGAGGGUGGCGGCGGACGGAUGAGUAACACGUAGAUAAGCUACCUCUAAUACUGGGAUAACAACGGGAAGCCGGAUCCAAUAACGCCUGAUAUUUCGUACCGCUUGGAUCAGAAGUGAAAGACGGUCUUGCUGUCUCUUAUAGAUGGUUCCGCGCUGAAUUAGCUAGUUGGUAAGGUAACGGCAUACCAAGGCAACGAUGCAUAGCCGAGCUGAGAGGAUGAUCAGCCACACUGGAACUGAGACACGGUCCAGACUCCUACGGGAGGCAGCAGUGGGGAAUCUUGCACAAUGGGCGCAAGCCUGACGCAGCAAUACCGCGUGAGUGAAGAAGGUCUUCGGAUCGUAAAGCUCUGUUAUUAGGAAAGAACAUAUGUGUAAGAAACUGCGCCCAUCUUGACGGUACCUAAACAGAAAGCCACGGCUAACUUCGUG